Molecule: ribosomal RNA, 253 nt
Filed under: uncultured bacterium
Lineage: Bacteria
Description: partial 16S ribosomal RNA
Rfam family: Bacterial small subunit ribosomal RNA
Source: RNAcentral
UACAGAGGUCUCAAGCGUUGUUCGGAUUCAUUGGGCGUAAAGGGUGCGUAGGUGGCGCCAUAAGUCAGGUGUGAAAUCUCGGGGCUCAACCCCGAAACUGCACUUGAUACUGUGGUGCUGGAGUACUGGAGAGGAGAUUGGAAUUUACGGUGUAGCAGUGAAAUGCGUAGAUAUCGUAAGGAAGACCAGUGGCGAAGGCGAAUCUCUGGACAGUUACUGACACUGAGGCACGAAGGCCAGGGGAGCAAACGGG